This 1117-nucleotide long non-coding RNA is filed under the name Homo sapiens (human). RNAcentral describes it as "HSALNT0395976". Lineage: Eukaryota; Metazoa; Chordata; Mammalia; Primates; Hominidae. The record is from RNAcentral.
CAGCGAUGGCCGCGGAGGGGGCGAACUGGGUUCCGGCCCUCGGAGGCUGACGGAAGGCGGUGGCUGAGGAGCGGCGCCUCUGGUUGAGCGCUCGCCGUGUGUCCCGCACCUGUCUGUCCUGCCGCCGCCCGAGUCUCACUCUGUUGCCAAGGCUGGAGUGCAGUGGCGGGAUCUCGGCUAACUGCAACCUCCCCAUCCCGGGUUCAAGCGAUUCUCCUGCCUCAGCCUCCCGAGUAGCUGCGAUUACAGACAUUUGCCACCAUGCCCGGCACAGCACAGCACCGCACAUCUCCAGUCGGACUGGCUACAUUUCAAGGGCUCAACCAUCACGCGUUACCAGUGGCUACUGCAUCAGACUGUGCAGUGCUAGAUGGGGAGUCAGAAGAGAAACCAAGUGAUUUCCAUGUCAAGUGGUGAACAGGCUAAGAAGAAAAGUAAAUUGGGGAAAGAGCAUGGGGAAUGUGGGGGUUGCUGUUUGAAAGAGGAUGGUUGGGAAGGCUGAAGAGCUGUCAUUCGCAGAGGGACCCAAAAGAGAGUCUCGCUGCAUCCCCCAGGCUGGAGUACAGUGGUAUGAUCUUGGCUCACUGCAACCUCUGCCUCCUAGGUUCAAGUGAUUCUCCUGCCUCAGUCUCCCGAGUAGCUGGGAUUACAGGCGCCCACCACCAUGCCCGGCUAAUUUUUGUAUUUUUAGUAGAGAUGGGGUUUCACUAUGUUGGCCAGGCUGGUCUCAAACUCCUGACCUCAGGUGAUCUGCCUGACUUGGCCUCCCAAAGUGCUGGGAUUACAGGCAUGAGCCACCUUGCCUGGCCUCUUCCUAAUGAUUUUUUAAAGUACAUCUUGUUUUCUCUGUCUUACUUUAUCAUAAAAAUAUAUGAUACAAAUAAAAUACAGAAUAUGUGUUAAUGGACUGUGUAUGUUAUGAGUAAGCCUUCCAGUCGACAGUGGGCUAUUAUUGGUGGUUAAGUUUUGGGGGAGUGUGUGUUCAAGGGUCAACCGCACUUCCUGAGGGCACUGUGAGAACUAAGUUAAAUAACCCACUUUUACAAUCUUUGGAACCGGGGGCAGGUGGCUGGGGCUCACACCUGUAAUUACAGCACUUUGGGAGGCUGAGGCAGGA